This is a long non-coding RNA of Patella vulgata (common limpet), 586 nucleotides long. RefSeq lists it as uncharacterized. The transcript is spliced from 3 exons. Lineage: Eukaryota; Metazoa; Mollusca; Gastropoda; Patellidae. The record is from RefSeq and is a predicted model, not a curated record.
UCUUGAUUGACGGAUCAAUUUCAUCACGGAUGGUGACUGGCAGUCAUUGAUAUCAUUACACCCAGCAGAUAAUUCACAGACGCCAUACUGUUCUUACAAUCUACAGUCAACCACGGACAAACCUGCAAGAUGAAUAAAGUAUUAUUUUGUCUGCUACUGUCUACCGCUGUUUUAAUCACUGAAUGUCAAGUCAUUCGUAAUGGCGGACGUCAGAGACAGCAUCUAUUUGGACGUCAUGGUGUACAACCUGGAAUGAAUGGACUAGUAUUUGGUAAGAGAAACAGCCAAGAGUUGAGAGCUGAUUGUUUGGAAGCCUUGGCUGUAUGCCAUAAGAUACUCUCAACUGAUGACGCGAAACUGGAGGAUUGAAAGAUAUGGACGGAUAAAGAACAAAAAUAGGAUGACACAAAAUGGAUUACAAACAAAUAAUAAAAAAAACUGUUUUAUUUCAUAAAACAUACGAUUUAUUUUUAACAAUAAACUUUUAAAAUUAGUCACCGAAAUAGAGAAAAUGCAGCCCAAAAUUUUACGCCUGAAUUUUUUAGAUUUUUUGGUGUGUAUUUUGUAAAGUUUUUGUUCGCCUAAA